GAUGAAGAACGUAGCGAAAUGCGAUAAGUAGUGUGAAUUGCAGAAUUCAGUGAAUCAUCGAAUCUUUGAACGCACCUUGCACCCUUUGGUAUUCCGAAGGGUAUGCUCGUUUGAGUGUCAUUGUACUCUCACACUUCUAAUUCCUUUCGGGAUUGGGAGCGGUGGACUUGGGUGUUGCUGCUUUAGUUGUGGCUCACCUCAAAUAAGUUAGUGCAACUCUUGGUUGGACAUAGUACGGCGUGAUAAGUGUCUUCGCCGGCGCCUCUGUAAGGAGGGUGGCCGAUCGGGAGCUCUGUGCUUCAAACCGUCUUCGGACAAUCUUUGACAACUUGACCUCAAAUCGAGUAGGACUACCCGCUGAACUUAAGCAUAUCAAUAAGCGGAGGA
RNAcentral lists this unclassified non-coding RNA (387 nucleotides) under soil metagenome. RNAcentral describes it as "partial contains 5.8S ribosomal RNA, internal transcribed spacer 2, and large subunit ribosomal RNA". The stretch from base 1 to 120 matches the Rfam family "5.8S ribosomal RNA", at positions 35 to 154 of the family's 154-position model. The record is from RNAcentral.